GUGGGGAAUAUUGGGCAAUGGGGGAAACCCUGACCCAGCGACGCCGCGUGAGGGAAGAAGGCCUUAGGGUCGUAAACCUCUGUUGUGUGGGAAGAAGAGCGUGACGGUACCACACGAGGAAGUCCCGGCUAACUACGUGCCAGCAGCCGCGGUAAUACGUAGGGGACGAGCGUUGUCCGGAUUUACUGGGCGUAAAGGGCGCGUAGGCGGUCAUUUAAGUCAGCUGUGAAAUUGUUUGGCUUAACCGGAUCAUGCGGUUGAAACUGGAUGACUGGAGUGCUGGAGAGGCAAGUGGAAUUCCCAGUGUAGCGGUGAAAUGCGUAGAUAUUGGGAAGAACACCGGUGGCGAAGGCGACUUGCUGGCCAGCAACUGACGCUGAGGCGCGAAAGCCAGGGGAGCAAACGGGAUUAGAUACCCCUGUAGUCC
RNAcentral lists this ribosomal RNA (427 nucleotides) under uncultured bacterium. RNAcentral describes it as "partial 16S ribosomal RNA". It matches the Rfam family "Bacterial small subunit ribosomal RNA", at positions 354 to 796 of the family's 1533-position model. The record is from RNAcentral.